Long non-coding RNA from Penaeus vannamei (Pacific white shrimp), 403 nucleotides. RefSeq lists it as uncharacterized. NCBI's taxonomy places the organism in Eukaryota, Metazoa, Arthropoda, Malacostraca, Decapoda, Penaeidae. The record is from RefSeq and is a predicted model, not a curated record.
CCCAUAUAAGAUCUGUCUUGUCGCUGCAGCUGCAUAGACUUCGCUGACUUCGCUCAGUAAACAGCAAGAACACAUCUGCAUCAUGAAGCUUUUCUCGAUGGCUCUGGCCCUGGUGGUGGCCCUGGCAUGCCUGGUGAGCUGGACCAGCGCCAUGCCUCAGCCUGACCCCGUAGCUGACCCUGAUCCCGCGGCUGACCCUGGCUUCCGUCGCUUCGGUGGAUUGGGAUAUGGUGGAUACGGCUACGGAGGUCGUGGAUACGGGGGUUAUGGAUUUAGAGGAUAUCGCGGAUAAAGAUAACCAUGAUGCCGGAUUAUUUCCUAAGGACAGUUAGGCGGGACACGAAGCGGACGUCAAAGAAUCUUCUCUUCCUGUAUUUCUUCUGAAAUAAAUUACUUCAUAUGA